CUCUUUAACAAAGGGGGGGCAAAUGAGUUGGCGGCCGCCUUAUACAUGCAAGUCGAACGAGAAAGCACCUUCGGGUGUGAGUACAGUGGCGGACGGGUGAGUAACGCGUAGGAAUAUACCCAGUAGUGGGGGACAACUCGGGGAAACUCGAGCUAAUACCGCAUACGCACUACGGUGGAAAGUGGGGGAUCUUCGGACCUCACGCUAUUGGAGUAGCCUGCGUUGGAUUAGCUAGUUGGUGAGGUAAAAGCUCACCAAGGCAACGAUCCAUAGCUGGUCUGAGAGGACGAUCAGCCACACUGGAACUGAGACACGGUCCAGACUCCUACGGGAGGCAGCAGUAGGGAAUCUUGGUCAAUGGGCGCAAGCCUGAACCAGCGAUGCCGCGUGUGUGAAGAAGGCCUUAGGGUUGUAAAGCACUUUCAGCAGUGAAGAAACGCCGGUGGUUAAUACCUGCCGGUACUGACGUUAACUGCAGAAGAAGCACCGGCUAACUCCGUGCCAGCAGCCGCGGUAAUACGGAGGAGGCAAGCGUUAUCCGGAAUGAUUGGGCGUAAAGCGUCUGUAGGUGGCCAGCUAAGUCUGCUGUUAAAGAUCACAGCUCAACUGUGGGAAGGCAGUGGAAACUGGCAAGCUAGAGGCUGGUAGGGGUAAAGGGAAUUCCCGGUGUAGCGGUGAAAUGCGUAGAUAUCGGGGAGAACACCGGUGGCGAAAGCGCUUUACUGGGCCAGACCUGACACUGAAGGACGAAAGCUAGGGGAGCGAAAGGGAUUAGAUACCCCUGUAGUCCUAGCUGUAAACGAUGGAGACUAUGUGUAGCACGUAUCGACCUGUGCUGUAUCGUAGCCAACGCGUUAAGUCUCCCGCCUGGGGAGUACGCACGCAAGUGUGAAACUCAAUGAAUUGACGG
RNAcentral lists this ribosomal RNA (910 nucleotides) under uncultured bacterium. Its description in RNAcentral is "bacterial SSU rRNA". It matches the Rfam family "Bacterial small subunit ribosomal RNA", at positions 9 to 916 of the family's 1533-position model. The record is from RNAcentral.